AGAGUUUGAUCCUGGCUCAGGAUGAACGCUAGCGGCAGGCCUAACACAUGCAAGUCGAGGGGCAGCGCGGUGCAGCAAUGCACUGGCGGCGACCGGCGUACGGGUGCGUAACGCGUAUGCAACCUGCCCCGCACCGGGGGAUAGCCCGCCGAAAGGCGGAUUAAUACCCCAUGGCCCCGGGGGCCCGCAUGGGCAUCCGGGUAAAGCCUUGGCGGUGCGGGAUGGGCAUGCGUGCCAUUAGCUGGCUGGUGGGGUAACGGCCCACCAGGGCGACGAUGGCUAGGGGGUCUGAGAGGAUGGUCCCCCACACUGGUACUGAGACACGGACCAGACUCCUACGGGAGGCAGCAGUGAGGAAUAUUGGUCAAUGGGCGGAAGCCUGAACCAGCCAUGCCGCGUGCGGGAGGAAGGCCCUACGGGUUGUAAACCGCUUUUCCCCGGGAAGAAUAACCCCGACGAGUCGGGGGAUGCCGGUACCGGGGGAAUAAGGAUCGGCUAACUCCGUGCCAGCAGCCGCGGUAAUACGGAGGAUCCGAGCGUUAUCCGGAUUUACUGGGUUUAAAGGGUGCGUAGGCGGCCCUGCAAGUCAGCGGUGAAAUGUGGCGGCUCAACCGUUUCGCUGCCGCUGAUACUGUAAGGCUUGGAUGCGGUCGAGGCGGGUGAAAAAUUGUGGUGGUAGCGGUGAAAAGACAUAAAUAUCACCAAGUACCGACUAUAGCUAAACGCUACUUCCACGGUCCCCAAUCCACGCUGAAGAUAUAAAACAUUGUGAUUUAAUGUGAAUAAAUACUUUGAAUACCUAUUCCCUAAACUAAGAUUGC
RNAcentral lists this ribosomal RNA (821 nucleotides) under uncultured bacterium. RNAcentral's name for it is "bacterial SSU rRNA". It matches the Rfam family "Bacterial small subunit ribosomal RNA", at positions 8 to 816 of the family's 1533-position model. The record is from RNAcentral.